Long non-coding RNA from Chanos chanos (milkfish), 181 nucleotides. RefSeq lists it as uncharacterized. NCBI's taxonomy places the organism in Eukaryota, Metazoa, Chordata, Actinopteri, Gonorynchiformes, Chanidae. The record is from RefSeq and is a predicted model, not a curated record. The transcript has 3 exons.
CAGGACUGCACUGAUGCUGUUGGUGUUGGCUAUAUCACCCAUCUUCAUAGCUGACAGUGCAUCACAUGUGAACUGGUAUGAACCUGCUAAACUGGUUUCAUUAAAACCGGGCGAAUCUCUCAGGCUGGAGUUAAGCACAUCAGCAGCAGUGUUGCUGUAUUUUAAAGGGAGUGAUUCAAAG